GCUCUUGGGCCUUUGGCCACAGACUGAAGGCUAUACUGUCAGCUUCCCUACUUUUGAGGGUUGGGGACUUGCGUUGAGCCACUACUGACUUCCUUGCUCCUCAACUUGCAGAUAGCUUAUCCUGGGACUUGACCUUGUGAUCAUUGACCUCUGAAGUUUUUAUUGGCCUUCAGUUCCCCCAAAGGAUUCCCUGCUUCUGCUGGCUUAACGUCUGAGAACUUUGUUGUCAUUGGUCUCAGACACCACGUUACCAUCUACUAUCCGGUAGGUGGUGGUCUUUUGAAUGGUUGCAUGGGAGUUGCUGCUGUUCAAGUCAUCACCAAGAUUGAAGUCCUUGCCAUCUUCCAGCAGGUGGCGGUAGGUGGCGAACCUGUAGCUUGACCUUGAUGUUCAGCAGAGCCUGGUACUCCUGAGCCUGGUGUUGUCCCUCUGCCCAGGUCUGUGUGAGCUCCGACUCCAGGUGUAGCAGGAUCUCCUUGAGCUCCUCCAUCUGCAGGGCAUAGUGGGCCUCCACAUCCCUCAGGCUGUUCUCCAAGCUGGCCUUCAGGUGCUCCCAGAUCUUGCUCUCCAGCUGCCAGUUCUCUGUCUCCAGGCUCCUCACUCUGUCCAGGUAGGAGGCCAGGUGGUUGUUCAGGCUUUGCAUUCCUGCCAGAACCUCCCAUUCCUGCCAGAACCCCUGCCAUCCCCGCAGCCAGGCCCCUGGACCCCAAGCCACCCGGGAAGCUGGUGGAGUGGGACACAGAGAUCCAAGAACCAGAGACCCUGGCGCCUGCAUAGAUGCUGGCCACGCUGCUGA
RNAcentral lists this long non-coding RNA (796 nucleotides) under Callithrix jacchus (white-tufted-ear marmoset). RNAcentral's name for it is "lncRNA (ENSCJAG00000079125.1)". The record is from RNAcentral. Lineage: Eukaryota; Metazoa; Chordata; Mammalia; Primates; Cebidae.